GACGAACGCUGGCGGCGUGCUUAACACAUGCAAGUCGAACGGAAAGGCCCUGCUUUUGUGGGGUGCUCGAGUGGGGAACGGGUGAGUAACACGUGAGUAACCUGCCCUUGUCUUUGGGAUAACUUCAGGAAACUGGGGCUAAUACCGGAUAGGAGCUCCUGCUGCAUGGUGGGGGUUGGAAAGUUUCGGCGGUUGGGGAUGGACUCGCGGCUUAUCAGCUUGUUGGUGGGGUAGUGGCUUACCAAGGCUUUGACGGGUAGCCGGCCUGAGAGGGUGACCGGCCACAUGAGGACUGAGAUACGGCCCAGACUCCUACGGGAGGCAGCAGUGGGGAAUAUUGCACAAUGGGCGGAAGCCUGAUGCAGCAACGCCGCGUGCGGGAUGACGGCCUUCGGGGUGUAAACCGCUGUCGCCUGUGACGAAGCGUGAGUGACGGUAAUGGGUAAAGAAGCACCGGCUAACUACGUG
Molecule: ribosomal RNA, 468 nt
Filed under: uncultured bacterium
Lineage: Bacteria
Description: partial 16S ribosomal RNA
Rfam family: Bacterial small subunit ribosomal RNA
Source: RNAcentral